UUAACACAAAUUUGUAUGCAGUUGGAACAGCGCCCCUAGCGGCAAACGUAGGCAAACGUUCCAACUCUAUACAAAUUCGAUUUA
This 84-nucleotide microRNA precursor is filed under the name Bombyx mori (domestic silkworm). Its description in RNAcentral is "mir-2807 microRNA precursor family". It matches the Rfam family "mir-2807 microRNA precursor family". The record is from Rfam by way of RNAcentral. Lineage: Eukaryota; Metazoa; Arthropoda; Insecta; Lepidoptera; Bombycidae.